UACGUAGGGUGCAAGCGUUAAUCGGAAUUACUGGGCGUAAAGCGUGCGCAGGCGGUGAUGUAAGACAGGUGUGAAAUCCCCGGGCUUAACCUGGGAACUGCAUUUGUGACUGCAUCGCUGGAGUGCGGCAGAGGGGGAUGGAAUUCCGGGUGUAGCGGUGAAAUGCGUAGAUAUCCGGAGGAACACAGGUGGCGAAGGCGGCUUCCUGGACCGACACUGACGCUGAGGCGCGAAAGCUAGGGGAGCAAACGGG
Molecule: ribosomal RNA, 253 nt
Filed under: uncultured bacterium
Lineage: Bacteria
Description: partial 16S ribosomal RNA
Rfam family: Bacterial small subunit ribosomal RNA
Source: RNAcentral